GAUGAGUCCGCAGAGAACAGGAUGGUGGUGACAUUGCUCAUAUCAGCUCUUGAGUCCAUGGAUCAUGGCACAAGUUGCAGUUUCCACCCUGCCCAUUGAAGAUGAGGAGUUUGUUGAAGAUGAGGAGUCCUUGGAGAGCAGGAUGGUGGUGACAUUCCUAAUGUCAGCUCUCGAGUCCACGAGUCUCUGUUUCACCCAAUCUGGAGUGCAAUGAUGCAGUCGUA
Homo sapiens (human) is the source of this 224-nucleotide long non-coding RNA. RefSeq lists it as uncharacterized. The record is from RefSeq and is a predicted model, not a curated record. The transcript is spliced from 3 exons. NCBI's taxonomy places the organism in Eukaryota, Metazoa, Chordata, Mammalia, Primates, Hominidae.